This is a long non-coding RNA of Meriones unguiculatus (Mongolian gerbil), 1421 nucleotides long. RefSeq lists it as uncharacterized. The record is from RefSeq and is a predicted model, not a curated record. Lineage: Eukaryota; Metazoa; Chordata; Mammalia; Rodentia; Muridae. The transcript is spliced from 7 exons.
CAUUCCCACACUGAGCUUACACUGGCUAGUCCUGAAAUUCUUCUCAGCACGGAAGCCCGGAACCUCGGUCGAGGUCCCUGAGGGAUUGGGGUAACGCUUCGGGCUUCAGGAGGCUAUAACGUGAAGCUGUGUCUCUGCUCGCUCACCGCGGUUUUCCCGACAACCCCAGGAGAAGAGUGCCCCCAGCACGCCUGGACCCCUGGGCCCCGACGGUCGCCUCUGCGGCCCUCGAGCGCCCCCUGCAGCCCGCACCCGCUCCCAUCCUAAAAGCAGCGGACAAUGCCUUGAGGACCUCCCUGGGCUCCACUCUCCACACCAGACAAAAGCUGCGGAGCAUUCAUAACAAGCCUCGGUUUCCUCAUCAGUCCAGCACCCUCGAACAUGCUCUGCCCCCCCAGCCUCAGCCAGGGACCGCCCAUGUUCUUCACAGACCCAGCUUCCCACCAAGGACCCUCUGCUGCCCCCGCUGGCUGCCACUAUCUUACCCCCUUCUCUUCACUCAGGCAAAGGAGACGACUGACGCUUGUCCACGGUGGUUUUAGAACUACAUUUCCCAUGAGGCCUCAAGACAGCGAGAGUUCCGGCGAGAUGGGGGGGGGGGGUGGGAAACUGCGCGCAAGCGCAACCUCGUCCUUUCCGAGCUUGUGCCGCGUGUUAUGGCUGCUUCGGUCUGUGGUGCACACUCACUGAAAAGCCUAGGGGUUUCGGUGUUGGUAAGCUGUGGAAAAGGGAAGGCAUUACAUUGGCACAUGUGGGGACACGCUGCAGGUUCGUCCCGGAAGUAAUGGCCGGAUCCCCAGAGUAAACGGUCCUGGUGUGGUUCACCACGGGAGAAGGUAUAGGUAGAUGGUGGGCAUCCCUCAUGACACUUCAUUCUGAAGUUCAGCUAGAAGAAUGCGUGUUGAACCCUGAGCACAUUUAGUCUUUUCAGAGUGGAGCUGUUGGCUCCUGGAGACGACCGUUGUGGCGCAUGGAGCCUCCAUGAUGACUCUGCAUGGUACGGGCUGAGCCCCGGUUUCUGGGCCUGAGAAGGAUGUUGUGGAAAACCACAGGACCCCAGAAUGAUACAAGCAAGCGAAAGAGCUUCCCACAUAGCUGGUGCAAGGUGCGGAGAUUAAAGGCAUGCAUCACCAUUCGUGGCCCUUCAUGAUUUUUAUGUUCCUGUUUUGUGUUCAAAAGAAGCUCGUAAGCCUAUGAUGGAUGCCAGAGAGAACCUGCUGCCGCUCUCCCAGAGAGAGAGCAGGACAAAGUCAACUGUCUCCAUUCACCUUGGGAGGCCUUUGGCAGCUGGUGAAGGCGCCCAGGCAGGAGGCACUGGGGAGGUGGUGCUCAGCCUGGAACACAGUUCCCAAAGUGGAUUUCCUGGGAAGUUGAUUGGCUUUGUGUUGUGAAGUACAAAUAAAGUUUAUAAACUUUCAGUA